RNAcentral lists this long non-coding RNA (1221 nucleotides) under Homo sapiens (human). RNAcentral's name for it is "HSALNT0315246". Lineage: Eukaryota; Metazoa; Chordata; Mammalia; Primates; Hominidae. The record is from RNAcentral.
UCUCUUAUGACUCAGGUUAUUGACAGCUGGGAAAAGGCACACACCUCUGACUGAUGGUGACCCAAAAAGAAAUCAUAGAGAAGCAAAUUUGGCUCCACUGGUUUGAUUUUUCCUUCCUUCCUCCUUACACAUCCAAGGAGGUUUUGCUCUGGAAAUCUCUUGCUAUGGAAUGCCUAACAAACCUGAACCAGGAAACCCUUUACCAACAGGAAGUGACCCAGUCUUUCUGCAUGGCAGGUGGCCACGCUGCCACCUGCUCCCUUCCUGUUAGUCAUGACUCCAAGGGUCUUGACAGAGGGUAGUGACAGGCAACUGGAGAUCUGGAAAGAAAAUCUCUCUUCAAAGGUUUGCUGUGUUGCAAACGCCAGGGGACAUCAGUCACAGAGACCUGAAUGUACACAGCACCCCCUGGAGUUGGCAAUGCGGAGGCUCUGGCUGUUGAUCCCAAAGAAGAUUUAAAUUGCAGUCCAUUAUAUUUUUCUCUCAGACUUCUGUUUCUUUGAAUAUUCCAAAUAGAUUAAAAUAUAAUCUGGAAUCUUAAGUGCCUUAGUCUUAUUUAGGUAACAAUACUAUCUAAGAAAAACUCUAGAAGAAUUCACAACAAAUUGCUAACUAUAGUUAUCUCUGGCAGAGGAAGUAGCAUGGGAAAGGCGUGGGAAAAUUUUUUACUUUGACUUUUUUUUCACCUGUGUACUUAUGUAUAAUUUGUGUGGAAUAAAUAAAAUAAUAAAUAUACAUGAUAAAAUUUCAAAUAAAAGUUAAAAAAAUUACGGGGCACUCCUCCUUGAGCCUAUAUGAUGGUUUUGAAAUACUAUUCAAAAAGAACCAGGACUUCUUAGAGAAAUGACUGAGUGCAGGUCUCGGGCAGGAAAUGUACAAGAUGAGCCUGGCACCUCUUAUUAAUACCACAUAGCAAGAAAGGUACGAAGAUGACUAGGGCCAUGGCAAAAGGACUCAUGAACUAACUUGAAGAGGCUUCUACUGACCAAAGACAGAGCAACUUAAGCAUCAAUAAAGAUAAUAACUGCAAUGGCUAUGAUGAAAUACAUUAUGAAUGCAUAAAGUUCAUACUAAUGUUAAACAAAAUGAAAAUUAAUUGGUCAUACUGGGUAGAUGAUGGGGAACUAACAAAUUAUUUUAAAAAUUGGUAAAUCCAGGCAAAGAAUCUAGCAUUUAUUGUAACUUUUUUUUUUUUUUUUGAGACAGAGUUUUGCUCUUGUU